RNAcentral lists this transfer RNA (65 nucleotides) under Dipodomys ordii (Ord's kangaroo rat). It matches the Rfam family "tRNA". From Rfam's summary of the family: Transfer RNA (tRNA) molecules are approximately 80 nucleotides in length. Lineage: Eukaryota; Metazoa; Chordata; Mammalia; Rodentia; Heteromyidae. The record is from Rfam by way of RNAcentral.
GGUGGCUCAGUGGUAGAGCGCUUGCCUUGUGUGCAUGCGGCCCUGGGUUGGAUUCCUUAGCACCA